Molecule: ribosomal RNA, 253 nt
Filed under: uncultured bacterium
Lineage: Bacteria
Description: partial 16S ribosomal RNA
Rfam family: Bacterial small subunit ribosomal RNA
Source: RNAcentral
UACAGAGGUCUCAAGCGUUGUUCGGAAUUACUGGGCGUAAAGGGCGCGUAGGCGGCCUGCUAAGUCGAACGUGAAAUCCCCGGGCUCAACCCGGGAACUGCGUCCGAUACUGGCAGGCUUGAAUCCGGGAGAGGGAUGUGGAAUUCCAGGUGUAGCGGUGAAAUGCGUAGAUAUCUGGAGGAACACCGGUGGCGAAGGCGGCAUCCUGGACCGGCAUUGACGCUGAGGCGCGAAAGCCAGGGGAGCAAACGGG